GGCAACUUGAACAAGACCAAUAUGCAGGAAAUUGUUUCCAUCAGUCUUGUGUUUUCUGAUUGACUCAAGAUUAAGCAACUGGCAAGUUUCGUGUUCUUUACUAAGAGCGUAAACUUGUUCAACUGUUUUGACAUGUGUGGUGCUAUUAAAACUGGAAGGCAACCAAUGUUUCUUAUAAAUUUUUUGACUCGGGACUUUAGGGAUAUUCCAAUCUCUAAAAUCUAAUUGUUCUUUGCAACUAGAGUCAUAUUCAAAUUGUUCUUCAUUAACUAUCUCAGGGAGUCGACUUAUACUGGUCUUAGAACUGCUUGACUUACAGGAACUUGACCUAAGAAAACGACUCAUGGCUACUCAAGUGUUUGACUUAAACGGACUGAGGAAGAAGAUAAACAGGGAUUUCCCGGACUUACUCCUUAGACUCUAAGAAACCUACUAACUCCACUCAAUUUUCUGUCUCCUGCCCAGCACAAACGCCCUACCCUCGGGACUUACAGAUCUAG
Molecule: long non-coding RNA, 500 nt
Filed under: Prunus persica (peach)
Lineage: Eukaryota; Viridiplantae; Streptophyta; Magnoliopsida; Rosales; Rosaceae
Description: long non-coding RNA (PPER_LNC005835)
Source: RNAcentral